This is a long non-coding RNA of Lactuca sativa (garden lettuce), 1344 nucleotides long. RefSeq lists it as uncharacterized. The record is from RefSeq and is a predicted model, not a curated record. Lineage: Eukaryota; Viridiplantae; Streptophyta; Magnoliopsida; Asterales; Asteraceae.
UUGUAACCACUGCAUUGAGUUGUAAUUUCACGGCGGCGAUGAACAAUCCAAUCCCAAGUCCCAACCAUUUGUAACGAACGCUACCGAUUUGAAGUUCUUCACUCCCGCAGCCACCUAGAUCUGCUCAAAGAAGCCUACCCCCAAUCUCCAAUACGCUACCAAAAAUGGCAAUUAGAGAACCAGAAAUCAUCAGAAACGAAUAACAGAUAGAGAAAUUGGAAAAGAUCUGUGAGAGCUCAAGGUCAUCUCUCUCUCAUUGCCGAAGCUUGAAAACACGCACAGCUUAUCGCCUUCAUUGAAGAUUCUCCGAUGAUUGAGAGAUUUAACAUCGCGGUGCUUGCGUCAUUCUUCCCUCUCGAAGUUUCGUGCCCUAAUAAAUCAGCCAGAGGUCCGAUCGAUCCGAACCUCCCGAUUGUCCUUCACCUUUGAGCUUCCGGUCUCCAAGCUAGAGGACGACUCGAUGUUCUGAAGUAGCAACACCGUCCGUUCAAUCCAAAGUCUGUCCGACAUCGAUGAUAUGAGCGGCUUUAUCUCGUUGAUCAUAGUCUGUCCUCGGAAAAGAAAAUCAGAGCAAAUGGAGGAAGCCAUGGCUAUAAUCAACCAGGUGAUGUACUAUCUGGAACAUGGUCUGAAGGGGAACACGAACACCAUUUAGGAGUGAUGCAAGAAUGGUUUGGUCAGCAAUGGUGGACUACACGUUCUGUCUUGCUGCUUCUAACAACCCUCCUUGUUUUCUCUCCUCUGAUAUCCUUUAAACGUGUAGGUGUAAUCCAUUGAAGGAAGCUAGGUAGGUGUGCAUCAUCUUGAUGAACAACAAAGUAGUAAAAAUUUCACAUUAAAAUGCCAUAGAGAAAUGAUGUCAAUGGAUUAUAAUUGGCCUGCUCAAUAGGUUGAUAUGAUUGUUUUUACAGAUGGAAGCAGAAUAAUGGGUCUUGGUGAUCUAGGAGUUUAAGGUAUUGGAAUUGCAAUUGGGAAGUUGGAUUUAUAUGUUGCUGCAGCUGGAAUAAAUCCUCAGAGAGUAAUGUCUGCACAUUAUCCAUCUUAAUAUAUACGUAUUUCUAAAAUUUCUCACUUGCAAACAUAUAUCUUUUUCCUUUUUUUCAUUGUAAUAGGUUUUUCCUAUCAUGAUUGAUGUUGGAACCAACAAUGGCAACCUUCUAGAAAAUCCCUUGGAUUUUGAAGAAUUUUUGGAAAAUAUUGAAGAGGUGAAAAGUGAUAAAUUGAAGAAAAUAUGAAAAUCUUGAUAUGAAGAAAUGAUAACACUUUGAAUCUUUGUAUUUUUUAUCGAAUAAAAUACUUGUAUUAUGUUUAUAGAUUGAUUAAUAAAAAAAAGAUUUUUUAUAA